RNAcentral lists this unclassified non-coding RNA (329 nucleotides) under soil metagenome. Its description in RNAcentral is "partial contains 5.8S ribosomal RNA, internal transcribed spacer 2, and large subunit ribosomal RNA". The stretch from base 1 to 120 matches the Rfam family "5.8S ribosomal RNA", at positions 35 to 154 of the family's 154-position model. The record is from RNAcentral.
GAUGAAGAACGUAGCGAAAUGCGAUAAUUAAUGUGAAUUGCAGAAUUUAGUGAAUCAUCGAAUCUUUGAACGCACAUUGCGCCCCCUGGUAUUCCGGGGGGCAUGCCUGUCCGAGCGUCAUUACAACCCUCAAGCUCAGCUUGGUGUUGGGCCCCGCCGCCCCGGCGGGCCCUAAAGUCAGUGGCGGUGCCGUCCGGCUCCGAGCGUAGUAAUUCUUCUCGCUCUGGAGGUCCGGUCGUGUGCUCGCCAGCAACCCCCAAUUUUUUUCAGGUUGACCUCGGAUCAGGUAGGGAUACCCGCUGAACUUAAGCAUAUCAAUACGCGGAGGA